GAUAAACGCUGGCGGCGUGCCUAAUACAUGCAAGUCGAGCGAACGGACGAGAAGCUUGCUUCUCUGAUGUUAGCGGCGGACGGGUGAGUAACACGUGGAUAACCUACCUAUAAGACUGGGAUAACUUCGGGAAACCGGAGCUAAUACCGGAUAAUAUUUUGAACCGCAUGGUUCAAAAGUGAAAGACGGUCUUGCUGUCACUUAUAGAUGGAUCCGCGCUGCAUUAGCUAGUUGGUAAGGUAACGGCUUACCAAGGCAACGAUGCAUAGCCGACCUGAGAGGGUGAUCGGCCACACUGGAACUGAGACACGGUCCAGACUCCUACGGGAGGCAGCAGUAGGGAAUCUUCCGCAAUGGGCGAAAGCCUGACGGAGCAACGCCGCGUGAGUGAUGAAGGUCUUCGGAUCGUAAAACUCUGUUAUUAGGGAAGAACAUAUGUGUAAGUAACUGUGCACAUCUUGACGGUACCUAAUCAGAAAGCCACGGCUAACUACGUGCCAGCAGCCGCGGUAAUACGUAGGUGGCAAGCGUUAUCCGGAAUUAUUGGGCGUAAAGCGCGCGUAGGCGGUUUUUUAAGUCUGAUGUGAAAGCCCACGGCUCAACCGUGGAGGGUCAUUGGAAACUGGAAAACUUGAGUGCAGAAGAGGAAAGUGGAAUUCCAUGUGUAGCGGUGAAAUGCGCAGAGAUAUGGAGGAACACCAGUGGCGAGGGCGACUUUCUGGUCUGUAACUGACGCUGAUGUGCGAAAGCGUGGGGAUCAAACAGGAUUAGAUACCCUGGUAGUCCACGCCGUAAACGAUGAGUGCUAAGUGUUAGGGGGUUUCCGCCCCUUAGUGCUGCAGCUAACGCAUUAAGCACUCCGCCUGGGGAGUACGACCGCAAGGUUGAAACUCAAAGGAAUUGACGGGGACCCGCACAAGCGGUGGAGCAUGUGGUUUAAUUCGAAGCAACGCGAAGAACCUUACCAAAUCUUGACAUCCUUUGACAACUCUAGAGAUAGAGCCUUCCCCUUCGGGGGACAAAGUGACAGGUGGUGCAUGGUUGUCGUCAGCUCGUGUCGUGAGAUGUUGGGUUAAGUCCCGCAACGAGCGCAACCCUUAAGCUUAGUUGCCAUCAUUAAGUUGGGCACUCUAAGUUGACUGCCGGUGACAAACCGGAGGAAGGUGGGGAUGACGUCAAAUCAUCAUGCCCCUUAUGAUUUGGGCUACACACGUGCUACAAUGGACAAUACAAAGGGCAGCGAAACCGCGAGGUCAAGCAAAUCCCAUAAAGUUGUUCUCAGUUCGGAUUGUAGUCUGCAACUCGACUACAUGGAGCUGGAAUCGCUAGUAAUCGUAGAUCAGCAUGCUACGGUGAAUACGUUCCCGGGUCU
This 1372-nucleotide ribosomal RNA is filed under the name uncultured bacterium. Its description in RNAcentral is "bacterial SSU rRNA". It matches the Rfam family "Bacterial small subunit ribosomal RNA", at positions 28 to 1381 of the family's 1533-position model. The record is from RNAcentral.